This is a long non-coding RNA of Rosa chinensis, 678 nucleotides long. RefSeq lists it as uncharacterized. The transcript is spliced from 5 exons. Lineage: Eukaryota; Viridiplantae; Streptophyta; Magnoliopsida; Rosales; Rosaceae. The record is from RefSeq and is a predicted model, not a curated record.
UCUCUCUCAGAGAUUGCAGAGAGUCUUCUAGGUCGCCACGCCUCCACUACCUCCGUAAAACCCCCAACACCCUCCCAUAUCUCAACGAAACCACCCCAAACCCUAUCCUUCGUCUUCGUCCUGUAUUUUAUAAAAGAAAGCUUCUUAAUUUUUGGUUUGCUUUGAGUAUUCCCAAUUGGUUGCAAACUUGUGUUUGUUUGCUGCCAAUCCUAAAGGAUCAAUUGGCUAAGAUUGUUGAGGAGGAGUUGAUACCAAUCAAUUGCGGAAACAAUGGCGAGGAGAAAUUUCUAAACAAUUAUGCGGACCAUAGGCCCACUCCUCUCCAAGUCCCUCUUCAAUUAGAGUAUAAAUUGGUCUCACUUCGACUUUAGUGGUCUAACUUCCGGGAGCACAGCUUGUGUUGCAAUUAUUAGAAACAACCAACUUGUUGUUGCCAAUGCUGGUGAUUAUCGUUGUGUCAUAUUGAGGAAGGGUCAGAUAAGAGAUCAAAGAUGUGCUAAAUUCACACUCCAUUUUGUCCAGCUUAGGGAAAGGGUGAUGCUGCAACUUAAGCUUGGGAAAAUCACUGCUACUUGAAAGAAUAUUGAAAGAGUUCGUAUGUUCAUUGGUCUUUUUUGUUGAAGGUUGCAGCUACACUGACUUUUGAAGAAGAAUAUUUAGUUUUUAUUUUUAUUUUUA